UACGGGGGGGGCAAGCGUUGUUCGGAAUUACUGGGCGUAAAGGGCUCGUAGGCGGCCAACUAAGUCAUACGUGAAAUCCCUCGGCUUAACCGGGGAACUGCGUCUGAUACUGGAUGGCUUGAGAUUGGGAGAGGGAUGCGGAAUUCCAGGUGUAGCGGUGAAAUGCGUAGAUAUCUGGAGGAACACCGGUGGCGAAGGCGGGUCUCUGGGCAGUAACUGACGCUGAGGAGCGAAAGCGUGGGGAGCGAACAGG
RNAcentral lists this ribosomal RNA (253 nucleotides) under uncultured bacterium. Its description in RNAcentral is "partial 16S ribosomal RNA". It matches the Rfam family "Bacterial small subunit ribosomal RNA", at positions 524 to 776 of the family's 1533-position model. The record is from RNAcentral.